RNAcentral lists this non-coding RNA (147 nucleotides) under Pan troglodytes (chimpanzee). The record is from Rfam by way of RNAcentral. Lineage: Eukaryota; Metazoa; Chordata; Mammalia; Primates; Hominidae.
GCCAGGCAUGGCGGCGCAUGCCUGUAAUCCCAGCUACUCGGGAGGCUGAGGCAGGAGAAUUGCUCGAACCCAGAGGCAGAGGUUGCAGUGAGCUGAGUUCAUGCCACUGCACUCCAGUCUGGGUGACACAGCAAUACUCUGUCUCAA